Molecule: long non-coding RNA, 202 nt
Filed under: Lathyrus oleraceus (garden pea)
Lineage: Eukaryota; Viridiplantae; Streptophyta; Magnoliopsida; Fabales; Fabaceae
Description: Pisum sativum (pea) long non-coding RNA (PSAT_LNC030281)
Source: RNAcentral
UCAAACUCGUGAUCGGGUGCCCCUUUUCACCACGGUUGGAAGUUCUAACUCUAUUAAAAAGUGGCUUAAAAAUAAAUAAAAAACAAAAUUGUAGGUGCUAGGAUUCAAACGCAUCACCAAGCGCCACUUUUUACCACGGUUGGUACUUAUGACCAUUGUGAAAUGUCUUUUAGUAAAUACAAAAAAAAAGCGCCAAAAAAAU